AACGAACGCUGGCGGUAUGCCUAACACAUGCAAGUCGAACGAGACCUUCGGGUCUAGUGGCGCACGGGUGCGUAACGCGUGGGAACCUGCCCUUAGGUUCGGAAUAACUCCCCGAAAGGGGUGCUAAUACCGGAUAAUGUCUUCGGACCAAAGAUUUAUCGCCUUUGGAUGGGCCCGCGUUGGAUUAGCUAGUUGGUAGGGUAAAAGCCUACCAAGGCGACGAUCCAUAGCUGGUCUGAGAGGAUGAUCAGCCACACUGGGACUGAGACACGGCCCAGACUCCUACGGGAGGCAGCAGUGGGGAAUAUUGGACAAGGGGCGAAAGCCUGAGCCAGCAAUGCCGCGUGAGUGAUGAAGGCCUUAGGGUUGUAAAGCUCUUUUACCCGGGAUGAUAAUGACAGUACCGGGAGAAUAAGCGCCGGCUAACUCCGUG
RNAcentral lists this ribosomal RNA (433 nucleotides) under uncultured bacterium. Its description in RNAcentral is "partial 16S ribosomal RNA". It matches the Rfam family "Bacterial small subunit ribosomal RNA", at positions 29 to 507 of the family's 1533-position model. The record is from RNAcentral.